AUGGAAUUUGUUAAGAUAUUAGGAGAUUUUCCAGGCUUGCUAGCAAAAUGUUCAGUACUUGAGGACUUAGAGAUCAUCGGGUGCUAUGGUGUGGACAACUUAAUCGUACCACACAAACUCGAUAAACUUCAACAUUUGCUGAUUGCCGGAAUGGACAUCCAGAUGGUUGAGUUUCAUGCUACUGAUCUUGCUCAUUUUGAGUACAAAGGGCGAGUGAUCCCUAUAGUCCUUCAUGGUUGCUCGAAACUAGCGAAGGCAACAAUGAAGUUUAAUGGCACUAAAGCACUGGCACAUGCAUUCACUGCAGUUCCAAGCAUUUUGCCAGUGAAGACAUUACAUCUGCAAGCUUUCAUAUCAAAAUAUGCACAGUUGCAGAAGCUGCCAGCAAGACAACAGGGAAUGUUUUUGCAUUUGAGGCAUAUGACUUGUCAAUUAAUUGUCAACUCUAACGACCCAAAUGGUGAUAAUGGAGUUCUUCAAUUGGCCAAUUGUUUGGAUGUUGCACCCGGACUGGAGACGUUGCACUUGCAUAAUGAUUGCAAGCUUCCAAUGCAGAUGCUCUGUGCGAUAUCAAGUAGUUUCUCCAGCGGUGAGGUGGCGGGUAUGCGCCACCAUGAUCAUCUCAUAUCAAGACGGUCUUCAUGA
This 645-nucleotide ribosomal RNA is filed under the name Triticum aestivum (bread wheat). Its description in RNAcentral is "partial small subunit ribosomal RNA". The record is from RNAcentral. Lineage: Eukaryota; Viridiplantae; Streptophyta; Magnoliopsida; Poales; Poaceae.